GACGGUAGAGCUCAGUGGUAGAGCGCAUGUUUAGCAUGUAUGAAGUCCUGGGUUCGAUCCCCAGUACCUCCA
Molecule: transfer RNA, 72 nt
Filed under: Camelus bactrianus (Bactrian camel)
Lineage: Eukaryota; Metazoa; Chordata; Mammalia; Artiodactyla; Camelidae
Also listed under: 2 other names
Rfam family: tRNA
About the family: Transfer RNA (tRNA) molecules are approximately 80 nucleotides in length. Their secondary structure includes four short double-helical elements and three loops (D, anti-codon, and T loops).
Source: Rfam by way of RNAcentral